RNAcentral lists this transfer RNA (61 nucleotides) under Mesargus serrata. Its description in RNAcentral is "tRNA-Cys". Lineage: Eukaryota; Metazoa; Arthropoda; Insecta; Hemiptera; Cicadellidae. The record is from RNAcentral.
AAUUUUAUAGUUUAUUUAAAAUUUUAAAUUGCAAAUUUAAAGAUGGAUCUUCCUAAAAUUU